RNAcentral lists this transfer RNA (68 nucleotides) under Callopanchax sidibeorum. Its description in RNAcentral is "tRNA-Ser". Lineage: Eukaryota; Metazoa; Chordata; Actinopteri; Cyprinodontiformes; Nothobranchiidae. The record is from RNAcentral.
GAGAGAGGCUCGUCAACAACAAUAACUGCUAAUUAUUGCCACCCCAGUUAGACCCUGGGGCUCACUCG